This 428-nucleotide ribosomal RNA is filed under the name uncultured bacterium. RNAcentral describes it as "bacterial SSU rRNA". It matches the Rfam family "Bacterial small subunit ribosomal RNA", at positions 355 to 775 of the family's 1533-position model. The record is from RNAcentral.
UGGGGAAUCUUGCACAAUGCGCGAAAGCGUGAUGCAGCAACGCCGCGUGAGGGAAGACGGCCUUCGGGUUGUAAACCUCUUUCAGUUGGGACGAAGGUCGGGCGGUGAAUAGCCGUUCCGACUGACGGUACCUUCACAAGAAGCCCCGGCUAACUACGUGCCAGCAGCCGCGGUAAUACGUAGGGGGCAAGCGUUGUCCGGAAUCAUUGGGCGUAAAGAGCGUGUAGGCGGCUUGGUAAGUCGGCUGUGAAAGUCAGGGGCUCAACCCUUGAAUGCCGGCCGAUACUGUCAAGCUAGAGUCCGGAAGAGGCGAGUGGAAUUCCUGGUGUAGCGGUGAAAUGCGCAGAUAUCAGGAGGAACACCGAUGGCGAAGGCAGCUCGCUGGGACGGUACUGACGCUGAGACGCGAAAGCGUGGGGAGCAAACAG